UCAUCAUCUGAACUAGAGUCAGUUGACGUAGAAUCAUCGUCACUGGAUUCUUCUUUUUUAGAGGCAGCACCAGGCGCCUUCGUAGCAACAACCUUAGAGGCAACUACCUUAGAGGGAGGUUUCUGUCAAAAAGACAAUCAAUCAUCAAGUCAGGUGUCAAAGGACCAUAUUUGCAUAUAUCACGCAACAUAAAGCAAAUGGUGGUGUUACAUCAUCAUCUGAACUAGAGUCAGUUGACGAAGAAUCAUCAUCGCUGGAUUCUUCUUUUUUAGAGGCAGCAACAGGCGCCUUCUUAACAACAGGCGCCUUCUUAACAACAGGCGCCUUCUGAACAACAGCAUCAUCCUCAGAGCUGCUAUCAUCCUCAUCACUUGACUCAUCUUUCUUAGAGCCAUUAGUUGGAGGUUUCUUGGGUGCAGGUUCAUCUUCCUCAGAGCUGCUAUCAUCCGACUCAUCACUUGACUCAUCUUUCUUCUUAGCAGCAACACCAUUCUUGGUUGAAACCACAACAACCUUCUUAGAAGGAGCCU
Molecule: long non-coding RNA, 530 nt
Filed under: Capsicum annuum
Lineage: Eukaryota; Viridiplantae; Streptophyta; Magnoliopsida; Solanales; Solanaceae
Description: long non-coding RNA (CANN_LNC002525)
Source: RNAcentral